This 253-nucleotide ribosomal RNA is filed under the name uncultured prokaryote. Its description in RNAcentral is "partial 16S ribosomal RNA". It matches the Rfam family "Bacterial small subunit ribosomal RNA", at positions 525 to 777 of the family's 1533-position model. The record is from RNAcentral.
ACGAAGGGUGCAAGCGUUACUCGGAAUUACUGGGCGUAAAGGGUGCGUAGGUGGUUUUUUAAGUCUGCUGUGAAAUCCCCGGGCUCAACCUGGGAAUGGCAGUGGAUACUGGAAAGCUGGAGUGCGGUAGAGGGUAGUGGAAUUCCCGGUGUAGCAGUGAAAUGCGUAGAGAUCGGGAGGAACACCGGUGGCGAAGGCGGCCUGCUGGGCAGUGGCUGACGCUGAGGCGCGACAGCGUGGGGAGCAAACAGGA